This 503-nucleotide ribosomal RNA is filed under the name uncultured bacterium. RNAcentral describes it as "partial 16S ribosomal RNA". It matches the Rfam family "Bacterial small subunit ribosomal RNA", at positions 30 to 523 of the family's 1533-position model. The record is from RNAcentral.
AUUGAACGCUGGCGGCAGGCUUAACACAUGCAAGUCGAGCGGGGUGAUGGUGCUUGCACUAUCACUUAGCGGCGGACGGGUGAGUAAUGCUUAGGAAUCUGCCUAUUAGUGGGGGACGACAUCUCGAAAGGGAUGCUAAUACCGCAUACGUCCUACGGGAGAAAGCAGGGGAUCACUUGUGACCUUGCGCUAAUAGAUGAGCCACAGUCGGAUUAGCUAGUUGGUGGGGUAAAGGCCUACAAAGGCGACGAUCUGUAGCGGGUCUGAGAGGAUGAUCCGCCACACUGGGACUGAGACACGGCCCAGACUCCUACGGGAGGCAGCAGUGGGGAAUAUUGGACAAUGGGGGGAACCCUGAUCCAGCCAUGCCGCGUGUGUGAAGAAGGCCUUAUGGUUGUAAAGCACUUUAAGCGAGGAGGAGGCUCUUUUGGUUAAUACCCAGAAUGAGUGGACGUUACUCGCAGAAUAAGCACCGGCUAACUCUGUGCCAGCCGCCGCAGUAA